CACUGCAGGACUCAGAUCUGUCGGACUGAAAACUGCAUCAAGAUGAAGUUUUCAAUGAUUGUCGUGUUGUGUUUUCUGAGUCAGGAGACUUCUGCAAACAAGUUUCUGACUCAGACUGACAAAUCCAAGUCUGUCAGUCUUGGAGGGACUGUGGCCAUCAGCGCCACAGGUAGUUCAGAUAUCGGUGGUGAUCUCAGUUGGUACCUUCAGAAACCUGGACAGGCUCCCAAACUUCUCAUAUACUCUUCAUCAACUCUCUUCUCUGGAACUCCGUCUCGAUUCAGUGGCAGUAGAUCUGGUUCUGACUACACUUUAACCAUCAGAGGUGUUGAGGCUAAAGAUGCUGGAGAUUACUACUGUCUGGGCUACCAUAGUGGAUUUGUGUUCACACAGUGAUUUAGAGCCGUACAAAAACCUCCUCCUUUUUGACUGAAGUGAGAACGGCCUGCUGCAGGUGCAGAGUGUUGGUGGAGAGACUGUGAUGAAGAUAACUGGUCCAGUGAACACAACACAAGAGUCAUCAAGCAGAACCACAAUGAAUCUAAAUAAAACUGAAACAAACUUAUU
Anoplopoma fimbria (sablefish) is the source of this 567-nucleotide non-coding RNA. Lineage: Eukaryota; Metazoa; Chordata; Actinopteri; Perciformes; Anoplopomatidae. The record is from the annotation of a RefSeq genome assembly.